Molecule: ribosomal RNA, 1146 nt
Filed under: Triticum aestivum (bread wheat)
Lineage: Eukaryota; Viridiplantae; Streptophyta; Magnoliopsida; Poales; Poaceae
Description: partial small subunit ribosomal RNA
Source: RNAcentral
AUGUUUUGGGCAUGUGCCAAGUCAUCGGAUAGAAGCCAGUUCAAUUACAAUAGGGCUAAGCUUGCACAAAAGACAGUAGAGGGUGCGAAAGACAUGAUGAAAACUACACCAGAGUAUUGGUGUAGGGCCUACUUUAGGAUUGGGUCUUUUUGUGACUCAGUUGAGAACAACAUGUGUGAGUCAUUUAAUAAUGCCAUCAUGAGAUCUAGGUUCUAUCCGGUAUUAACUGCAAUGGAAAUCAUUAGAAAGAAGGUCACUGUGAGGAUCCAACAAAACAGAGCAAAGUCUGAGAAGUGGUAUGGAACCAUUUGUCCAAAUAUUUUCAAGAAGUUGAAGGUCAACAUUGAAAGAUCUGCUAGGUGUCAAGUGUUGUGGAAUGGAAAGGAUGGGUUUGAAGUACCGGAAGGUGAGCAUAGGAGAUACACAGUCAAUCUAGAAAACUGGACAUGUUCAUGUAGAUAUUGGCAACUUUCCGGAUUACCUUGUUGUCAUGCGGUUAGUGCAAUCUACACCUGCUCUAGAGAUUUGGAUCUCUACAUUUCACCUUGCUACUCUAUUGCUGAGUACAACAGAAUUUAUGAUCAUGUUCUUCAGCCUAUCAAUGGACCAGAAGAUUGGCCAAUUUCUGAAAAACCUAGACCUCUUCCACCUAAGAAAAGAACACAGACUGGCAGGCCCCAGACAAAGAGAAGGCAGGAGGAAGGAGAGAAACCUAGGAACCCAUCAAAAAUGUCAAGAGCAGGCACUCAGGUGACAUGUUCAAGUUGUGGAACUCAGGGUCACAACAAAAGAAAAUGUACGAAUAACAAUACUGCUGGUAAUAAAGAGCAUGCCAACUUCACAAGAGCAGCUACAAGGAGAAAGGCCAAGCAAGCAAGAACAGAGCAAGCUCAUGUUCCAUCAGCACAACAAAGUUCGGCUCCUGGCCCAUCAACACAAGAAGUUCCUCCAGCAUCUAAGCCACCAAAGAGGAAGAAGAAGGCCUCUGGUGCGCAAAAUAGUCCUUCCACUGCACCUUUCUAUGAGAGAGCAAAGAACAGAAGGAAAUCACUGAUACAAUCAUCUCAACCAACAUCUGGAACAUCUUCUUAUCAACCAGCACCUAGGGCGACAUCUCAGCCAAUGCCAAACCAAUCAAGAUUCUAG